This 402-nucleotide ribosomal RNA is filed under the name uncultured bacterium. Its description in RNAcentral is "bacterial SSU rRNA". It matches the Rfam family "Bacterial small subunit ribosomal RNA", at positions 356 to 773 of the family's 1533-position model. The record is from RNAcentral.
GGGGAAUAUUGCACAAUGGGGGAAACCCUGAUGCAGCAACGCCGCGUGAGCGAAGAAGGCCUUUGGGUCGUAAAGCUCUGUCCUCAGGGAAGAAAAAGAUGACGGUACCUGAGGAGGAAGCCCCGGCUAACUACGUGCCAGCAGCCGCGGUAAUACGUAGGGGGCAAGCGUUAUCCGGAAUUAUUGGGCGUAAAGAGUAUGUAGGUGGUUUCUUAAGCGCGGGGUCUAAGGCAAUGGCUUAACCAAUGUUCGCCCCGUGAACUGAGAGACUUGAGUGCUGGAGAGGAAAGCGGAAUUCCUAGUGUAGCGGUGAAAUGCGUAGAUAUUAGGAGGAACACCAGUGGCGAAGGCGGCUUUCUGGACAGUAACUGACACUGAGAUACGAAAGCGUGGGGAGCAAAC